Molecule: long non-coding RNA, 1965 nt
Filed under: Saimiri boliviensis boliviensis (Bolivian squirrel monkey)
Lineage: Eukaryota; Metazoa; Chordata; Mammalia; Primates; Cebidae
Description: lncRNA (ENSSBOG00000036478.1)
Source: RNAcentral
GCCAAGGGCAGUGUGUCCCCCAGGAGUGCGGGAAGGGGAAGGUGUUGUGGGGAGCCCUGGACACCGCCCAGUGUUCUGCACUUAGGGAGGGGUCUUCAGUGGGCCCUGGAAGAGGGAGGUUUCUAGAGCAGCCCAGGGGGCCCUGAGCACCUUGUUCCUCCCAUCAGGACAAGGAAGGACUAGGCGCACAAGGUACCGCCUUAGGUGUGCUUCUCCAGAUGCUCAGUGAUGAGAUCUCUCUCGGCCUCACCCUGCGCCUGUGGGAUGUCUAUCUCAUGGAGGGGGAGCAGGUGCUGAUGCCCAUGAUGAGAUGCAUCCACAAGGUUCAGAGGAAGCGCCUCCUGAGAACAUCAAGGUCUGGCCUGUGGGCACGUUUUUGCGACCUAUUUUCGUGGACCUCAGUAUGGAAGGACGAAAAGGUCUUGAAAGAUCUUUGGGCCUCGAGGCAAAAACUCACCAAGAAGCACGAGGACCUGCCAUCCCCAGCCAAACCCGAGGAAGGGUCCUCGGCACCCAGGCCUGUGCUGGCUUCACCUGGCAGGAACACCCUCUGCAAGGGGGAUGGUCAGCCCCCUCCCAGCCCAGCAACCCGGUUCCAGCAGCACCCUGUGUCCAGCCCGGCCCUGGCUCAGGGAGGAUCUCGCCAUUCCUGGCGAUAUUUAGAAUGGAGUUCCAUGCCCCAGCUCCCGACGGACCUGGAUGUGGGCGGCCCUUGGUUCCCCCAUUAUCACUUCGAGCAAUCAUGCUGGGUCCGUGUCCAUUCCGACUGUGUCCUGGACAUCCCCGGGACCAUGGGACAGGCCUAGCCCAGGAAGCCCAUGGGGACCCCAACACCGGGCCCUGCCCAAGGCCCAUCAGGACUAAGAGGAAGGUUGGGAGAUAUCCCCACUGCAACAUGGGCACCUGUAUUUGGCCCCUUCGCCAAAUGACUGUGACUGGAAGGAGCCACGGAGCAGCCCGCCAGCUCUCAACCCUAACUCUAACCCUAACCCCUGACCCUAACACUAACCCCUGACCCUAACCCUAACCCUAACCUGAACCCUAACCCUAACCCCACAGCCCCAGACACCUUGGAAAAUCCCGUUCAAUGGGGAGGCUUGUCCCAUCAAGGCCACGAGAGAGAGAGAGAGGAGCAUGGCAUCCCCACAGCCCUGGCCAGCCAGCAGCAUGCCCCAGGGCUUCUGUACCAACCUGUGGGAGUGUUCCCCUCCUAGGGCACAAUUCCCAGGCCAAGAGGGGCCUGGCCUACACCCCCAGCCCUGGGAUGAGAGGGGCACUAGGGGUAUGUUGGGCUCCUAGCUGUAGUCAGCAUGACCAUGCCAGGGACCCUGGCACUGGGGAGCUCUGCCACUGUCCCAGAAGCUGGGCGAGGCUAAAAGCCUCGCAGCCACUGCUGCAGCCUGGCCACCACCAGUUGCCUUUCAGCUGCCAGUGCAGGCUUUCCCAGUACUCCCACCAAAGAGAAUUACGACAGAGGAUGAUGUUGGUCCUGAGCUGAGCAAAACAGCACACCCUGUGGAUGGAGCCGGCUUCUUUCCCGGCCACCUCGUUUGCUGCAUGGGCCCUUGGAAGAAGUGGCCUUGAGACGGGCAUGGGGACUAAAGAGGCUCAGCACCAUGCAUCUGCCGUUACCAAGGCUCACCAGGCUGACACCACUGCUGAGCACCCUAUUUGUGGAUGAGAUACACCCAGUAUCUGGGAUGGCACCAUUUCCCAGGAGGACCAGCUGGCCACCUGCUGACAGGCUGACCACCCUGCGGAGGGGUCGGAGAUUGGCUUUCUCUGCACUGAGCCACAAUGUGGGCAUGGACCUGCCGGCCCUGCAGUGCACGCGGCACUGAUUCCCACCAGGACACCCCAUUCACAGCCGGGGACGAGCAGCGGUGCGCUCCCACCUCAGGGCCUUGGCUCUGCCACCUCUGCUUGGAAUGUUCUCAGUUCUAGAAGCAUCUGGGCCAGGGCUCA